This 314-nucleotide RNase P RNA is filed under the name Sediminicola sp. YIK13. RNAcentral describes it as "Bacterial RNase P class A". It matches the Rfam family "Bacterial RNase P class A". Rfam says of the family: Ribonuclease P (RNase P) is a ubiquitous endoribonuclease, found in archaea, bacteria and eukarya as well as chloroplasts and mitochondria. Its best characterised activity is the generation of mature 5'-ends of tRNAs by cleaving the 5'-leader elements of precursor-tRNAs. The record is from Rfam by way of RNAcentral. Lineage: Bacteria; Pseudomonadati; Bacteroidota; Flavobacteriia; Flavobacteriales; Flavobacteriaceae.
UUAGCAGGUCGCUCUAUCGCUUCCAAUGUAAAUUGGGAGAGGAAAGUCCGGACACCAUAGUGCAGUAUAGCGGGUAAUGCCCGUCCGCCGAGAGGUGAGGACAAGUGCAACAGAAAGGAUGUACAGGUAAUGCUGUAGUGAAACCAGGUAAACUCUAUGCGGUGCAACGUCAUGUAAAUCAGUGUUUGAGGGCUGCACGCCCGAGCUGAAGGGUAGGCGGUUUGAGCUUUUGGGCAACCAAAGGCCUAGAUAAAUGAUAGGGGGUUCCUGAUAACUCAGGAUGAACAGAAUCCGGCUUAUGACCUGCUUUUUUU